AACCAGGCACGCGGAUAACGGAAGACUUGUUACCAAGCAACGAGGUGUCGGCGGGAGCGUUAAACAAGACAGGUCGAGACCUGGCUUCAACAAAACUCAUCUGCUCCAUAGUCUCUGGUGGAGGAACUGGGUCACUGAGACGCAUUUUCCACCUGGACUCCUUUUUGGGUCACAUCACCCUCCCGACCAACGCUGACUACGAGGACACGCGAACACACGGUGGUCAUCAGAGUGGUUGACGGGGAUCCUGUUAGACCUCGAUCUGCUACCACUACAGUCACUAUUAAUAUCACAGAAGCAAAUGAUGAGCCUCCACUAUGUUGGCCCAAUAAGACAAAUCUAAUAGUUCCCAUUGAUCUUUGUGUUGGAUCAAACAUCCAAGGUUUGACCCUUCACUGCACAGAUAAGGCCUUCAAUCAUCUUCACAAUCUUCAGUACAGCAGAGUUGCAUAUUUAAGAUCAAUGUUUUGAACAGCAAACAAUCUCAAAGUACAGAUCUGUAGAGGAGAGUUUUAGGACUGUAAUGGGCUGCCUGAUAUUAUUGAGAAAUUAUACUUACCCUGUUUGAUAUAUCAGUUUUUACUAGACAAGAAUGAGAAAAAAUCUCCAGUAAUCUCAUAUGUGUCUCCUCUUGGGAAAAUCAAAUGAUCUGGGCUGCUAUCCAUAUUCAUUUUAUAGCUCUAUACUCUCACUGUAUGUCAACUAUUGACUCCCAAGACAUUUAGGAGACAUUUGAUACUUAAAUAAGACAUAAAUGAGAUCUCUAUUAAAUCAUCUGAGCUAUAAAAACAUUGUCUCGGAAGGAAAUAUGAGCUGAACACUUUGGUUAUGCACUCAAAUGCAGCAACAUCACAGUCAUGUGGUUUUGUGAGUUAGCAAACUUCACUAUGAUCAUAUUUCACAUUUUCACACUAGCUCAACAUCCUAGUAACCACCCAGAACAACUUGGCAGCAAGUUUUGCAUGUGCAAACCACACAACAUCUACAGGUGCUGGUCAUAUAAUUAGAAUA
This is a long non-coding RNA of Megalobrama amblycephala (Wuchang bream), 1011 nucleotides long. RefSeq lists it as uncharacterized. The transcript has 3 exons. NCBI's taxonomy places the organism in Eukaryota, Metazoa, Chordata, Actinopteri, Cypriniformes, Xenocyprididae. The record is from RefSeq and is a predicted model, not a curated record.